This 459-nucleotide ribosomal RNA is filed under the name uncultured bacterium. Its description in RNAcentral is "partial 16S ribosomal RNA". It matches the Rfam family "Bacterial small subunit ribosomal RNA", at positions 29 to 523 of the family's 1533-position model. The record is from RNAcentral.
AACGAACGCUGGCGGCAGGCUUAACACAUGCAAGUCGAACGCGAAAUCACCUUCGGGUGGUGGAGAGUGGCAGACGGGUGAGUAACGCGUGGGAACCUACCUAGUGGUACGGAAUAACUCAGGGAAGCUUGGGCUAAUACCGUAUGUGCCCGAAAGGGGAAAGAUUCAUCGCCACUAGAUGGGCCCGCGUCGGAUUAGCUUGUUGGUGAGGUAACGGCUCACCAAGGCGACGAUCCGUAGCUGGUCUGAGAGGAUGAUCAGCCACACUGGGACUGAGACACGGCCCAGGCUCCGACGGGAGGCAGCAGUGGGGAAGAUUGGACAAUGGGCGCAAGCCUGAUCCAGCCAUGCCGCGUGAGUGAUGAAGGCCCUAGGGUUGUAAAGCUCUUUCGGCGGGGACGAUAAUGACGGUACCCGCAGAAGAAGCCCCGGCUAACUUCGUGCCAGCAGCCGCGGUAA